RNAcentral lists this transfer RNA (77 nucleotides) under Streptomyces griseosporeus. RNAcentral's name for it is "tRNA-Ile". It matches the Rfam family "tRNA". From Rfam's summary of the family: Transfer RNA (tRNA) molecules are approximately 80 nucleotides in length. Their secondary structure includes four short double-helical elements and three loops (D, anti-codon, and T loops). The record is from RNAcentral. RNAcentral also lists the same sequence under 7 other names. Lineage: Bacteria; Bacillati; Actinomycetota; Actinomycetes; Kitasatosporales; Streptomycetaceae.
GGGGCUAUAGCUCAGUUGGUUAGAGCGCAUCCCUGAUAAGGAUGAGGUCACAGGUUCAAAUCCUGUUAGCCCCACCA